Molecule: ribosomal RNA, 914 nt
Filed under: uncultured archaeon
Lineage: Archaea
Description: bacterial SSU rRNA
Rfam family: Archaeal small subunit ribosomal RNA
Source: RNAcentral
UUCCGGUUGAUCCUGCCGGACCUGACUGCUAUCGGAUUGGUACUAAGCCAUGUGAGUCGUUGCAGCAAUGCAAGGCAGACGGCUCAGUAACACGUAGUCAACCUAACCUAUGGACGGGGAUAACCUCGGGAAACUGAGAAUAAUACCCGAUAGAUCAUGAUACCUGGAACGGUUUAUGGUUCAAAUGAUUUAUCGCCAUAGGAUGGGACUGCGGUCUAUCAGCUUGUUGGUGAGGUAAUGGCCCACCAAGGCUAUAACAGAUACGGGCCCUGAGAGGAGGGGCCCGGAGAUGGGUACUGAGACACGGACCCAGGUCCUAUGGGGCGCAGCAGGCGAGAAACCUUUGCAAUGUGCGAAAGCACGACAAGGUUAAUCCGAGUGAUUUCUGCUAAAGAAAUCUUUUGUUAGUCAUAAAACCACUGAUGAAUAAGGGGUGGGCAAGUUCUGGUGUCAGCCGCCGCGGUAAUACCAGCACCUCGAGUGGUCAGGAGGUUUAUUGGGCCUAAAGCAUCCGUAGCCGGCUGUUCAAGUUUCCGGUUAAAUCCACACGCUUAACGUAUGGGCUGCCGGAAAUACUGUUCAGCUAGGGAGUGGGAGAGGUAGACGGUACUCGAUAGGAAGGGGUAAAAUCCUUUGAUCUAUUGAUGACCACCUGUGGCGAAGGCGGUCUACCAGAACACGUUCGACGGUGAGGGAUGAAAGCUGGGGGAGCAAACCGGAUUAGAUACCCGGGUAGUCCCAGCUGUAAACGAUGCAGACUCGGUGAUGCAUUGGCUUGUGGCCAGUGCAGUGCCGCAGGGAAGCCGUUAAGUUUGCCGCCUGGGAAGUACGUACGCAAGUAUGAAACUUAAAGGAAUUGGCGGGGGAGCACCACAAGGGGUGAAGCCUGCGGUUCAAUUGGAUUCAACGCCGGG